Molecule: transfer RNA, 76 nt
Filed under: Myxococcales bacterium
Lineage: Bacteria; Pseudomonadati; Myxococcota; Myxococcia; Myxococcales
Also listed under: 3 other names
Description: tRNA-Ala
Rfam family: tRNA
About the family: Transfer RNA (tRNA) molecules are approximately 80 nucleotides in length.
Source: RNAcentral
GGGGCUGUAGCUCAGAUGGGAGAGCGCUGCGUUCGCAAUGCAGAGGUCAGGGGUUCGAUCCCCCUCAGCUCCACCA